This 472-nucleotide ribosomal RNA is filed under the name uncultured bacterium. Its description in RNAcentral is "bacterial SSU rRNA". It matches the Rfam family "Bacterial small subunit ribosomal RNA", at positions 355 to 825 of the family's 1533-position model. The record is from RNAcentral.
UGGGGAAUAUUGGACAAUGGGCGCAAGCCUGAUCCAGCAAUACCGCGUGUGUGAAGAAGGCCUGAGGGUUGUAAAGCACUUUCAAUGGGGAGGAAAAAUGCAGGCUUAAUACGUCUGCCCUUGACAUUACCUUUAGAAGAAGCACCGGCUAACUCCGUGCCAGCAGCCGCGGUAAUACGGAGGGUGCGAGCGUUAAUCGGAAUUACUGGGCGUAAAGCGUGCGUAGGCGGCCUGUUAAGUCAGAUGUGAAAGCCCUGGGCUCAACCUGGGAACGGCAUUUGAAACUGGCAAGCUAGAGUUAGGUAGAGGGGAGUGGAAUUCCGGGGUGUAGCGGUGAAAUGCGUAGAUAUCCGGAGGAACACCAGUGGCGAAGGCGGCUCCCUGGACCCAAACUGACGCUGAGGUACGAAAGCGUGGGUAGCAAACAGGAUUAGAUACCCCUGUAGUCCCUGAGCGGGCUGGCAAGGCGCAU